GAGUUUGAUUCUGGCUCAGGAUGAACGCUGGCGGCGUGCGUAACACAUGCAAGUUGUACGACGGUGCCAUGAAGUGGGGACACGGAGUGGUAUACGGAGUAGCGGACGGGUGAGUAAAGCAUGAGGAGCUGUCCUGUCGAGGGGGAUAACGUUCGGAAACGGACCCUAAUACCCCAUAGUCCGAGAGGUUAAAGGCAGAGAUGCGCGACGGGAGGUACUCGUGUCCUAUCAGCUAGUUGGUGAGGUAACGGCUCACCAAGGCGACGACGGGUAGCCGGCCUGAGAGGGUGACCGGCCACACUGGAACUGAGAUACGGUCCAGACUCCUACGGGAGGCAGCAGUGGGGAAUAUUGGGCAAUGGGAGGAAUCCUGACCCAGCGACGCCGCGUGAACGAAGACGGCCUUCGGGUUGUAAAGUUCUUUUAUGUGGGAAGAAGGAAGUGACGUACCACAUGAAUAAGCCCCGCA
This 469-nucleotide ribosomal RNA is filed under the name Synergistales bacterium canine oral taxon 203. RNAcentral describes it as "bacterial SSU rRNA". It matches the Rfam family "Bacterial small subunit ribosomal RNA", at positions 9 to 497 of the family's 1533-position model. The record is from RNAcentral. Lineage: Bacteria; Thermotogati; Synergistota; Synergistia; Synergistales.